This 423-nucleotide RNase P RNA is filed under the name Bacteroidota bacterium. Its description in RNAcentral is "Bacteroidetes bacterium (hydrothermal vent metagenome) RNase P RNA component class A". It matches the Rfam family "Bacterial RNase P class A". Rfam says of the family: Ribonuclease P (RNase P) is a ubiquitous endoribonuclease, found in archaea, bacteria and eukarya as well as chloroplasts and mitochondria. Lineage: Bacteria; Pseudomonadati; Bacteroidota. The record is from RNAcentral.
ACCGCAAGCUACUUCAUCGCUCCAUUCCCAUUGAGGAAUGGUGAGGAAAGUCCGGACAACGUAGAGCACCACACCACCUAACGGGUGGGUCCCGGGCAAUCGGGAACAGAGAGUGUCACAGAAAAUAACCGCCCCGAAUAUUCGGGGUAAGGGUGAAAACGUGCGGUAAGAGCGCACGGCGCUCCCGGGCAACCGGGAGGGCGGACAAACCUUGUGGGUUGAGAUGCCACAUACAUCAGGAUCCUCCCCAAAUGCCAUCAGGCAGGAGGCAGGAGGGCCGGGUUGCUCGCCCGGUUCGAGCCACUGGCGAAAGUCCUGAGGGGUAGGCAGAUAGACCCCGCCGGUGACGACGGGGCCAGAUAAAUGAUGAAGAUCGCUCCCACAGAGCGAUUACAGAAUCCGGCUUAUUGGCUUGCGGUGCUU